GCUGGGCGUGGUGGUGGCUGCCUGUAAUCCCAGCUACUCGGGAGACUGAGGCAGGAGAAUCGCUUGAACCUGGGAGGCGGAGGUUGCAGUGAGCGGAGAUCGCGACACUGCACUACAGCCUGGGUGAUAGAGAGAGACUCCAUCUCAAAAAAAAAAAGAGUUUUGAGAACUGUGCCGUCUGACAAAGUGUGCACCGAACAUAAGAGGUUAUUUGUUUAAACUUAAGUUUAACGGCCAGGCACGGUGGCUCAUGCCUGUAAUCCCAGCAGAGAGAGAGAUGAAGAGAGACAGAGAAACAGAGAGAGAGAAACAGAGAGAGAGAGAGAGAGCCAGAGACAGAGACAGAGAGAUACAUGGGAAGGAGAGGGAGAGAAUGGAGAGAGACAGAGAGAGGGAGGGGAGGCUCCUCCAGGUAGAGCAGAAGGAAAGAAACUUCGGGGCGGGACUGGAAGGUGCACCAGGUCAGAAGGAGGGGUUGGGGGUCCCCAUGCCCCUGGGAGGAUAAUGGGGCCAGCCGGGAAGGUGGCCAGCUAGGGAACGAGCAGUCUGUGCCAGUGACCACGAGCUCAGAUGCAGACGCCCCUCCCUGGCAGGGACGCCCACUCCCAGGCCAAGGCUUGUCCCCUGGGCCUUGCAGGCUGCUCAAGCCACUUCUGCAAACCCUCAGCUGGACUCCAUGCCUCUGAGAAGCCCCCAGAACUGGCAGGACAGGCCUGUGGCUAUAGCCCGUGUGAGCCUAAGCUCACAAACAAGCCGGAAUCCCACCGCAGGCCAGGGAGCCUCCGAAACUUCCCGGCUGCUCCCCAAGGAGCCGUGCUGCCCCAGCUCCCUGGACGCUGCCUUUGCUGGUAGAAGACAUGGAAACACCCUUGCAGGUGCCCCCCCCCGCCUGUUUUUGCUUCCUCAGGGUCACCCCUGGCUGCAAGUGCCUCAAGGACAGCCUGGAAGAGCCUGUGGGGGAGGGAGGGUGGCAUUCAGCACAGGAUACACACAGGAGCCCCAGGCUGUCCUCUGCCCACCGUCCCCACCCCAGCUCUAGCUCUGCCAG
RNAcentral lists this long non-coding RNA (1048 nucleotides) under Homo sapiens (human). RNAcentral describes it as "non-protein coding lnc-MIB2-3:1". Lineage: Eukaryota; Metazoa; Chordata; Mammalia; Primates; Hominidae. The record is from RNAcentral.